GAUGAACGCUGGCGGCGUGCCUAAUACAUGCAAGUCGAGCGAACGGACGAGAAGCUUGCUUCUCUGAUGUUAGCGGCGGACGGGUGAGUAACACGUGGAUAACCUACCUAUAAGACUGGGAUAACUUCGGGAAACCGGAGCUAAUACCGGAUAAUAUUUUGAACCGCAUGGUUCAAAAGUGAAAGACGGUCUUGCUGUCACUUAUAGAUGGAUCCGCGCUGCAUUAGCUAGUUGGUAAGGUAACGGCUUACCAAGGCAACGAUGCGUAGCCGACCUGAGAGGGGGAUCGGCCACACUGGAACUGAGACACGGUCCAGACUCCUACGGGAGGCAGCAGUAGGGAAUCUUCCGCAGUGGGCGAAAGCCUGACGGAGCAACGCCGCGUGAGUGAUGAAGGUCUUCGGAUCGUAAAACUCUGUUAUUAGGGAAGAACAUAUGUGUAAGUAACUGUGCACAUCUUGACGGUACCUAAUCAGAAAGCCACGGCUAACUACGUG
This 497-nucleotide ribosomal RNA is filed under the name uncultured bacterium. Its description in RNAcentral is "partial 16S ribosomal RNA". It matches the Rfam family "Bacterial small subunit ribosomal RNA", at positions 28 to 507 of the family's 1533-position model. The record is from RNAcentral.